This 253-nucleotide ribosomal RNA is filed under the name uncultured bacterium. RNAcentral's name for it is "partial 16S ribosomal RNA". It matches the Rfam family "Bacterial small subunit ribosomal RNA", at positions 524 to 776 of the family's 1533-position model. The record is from RNAcentral.
UACGUAGGGGGCAAGCGUUAUCCGGAUUUACUGGGUGUAAAGGGAGCGUAGACGGAAUUGCAAGUCUGAUGUGAAAGUCCGGGGCCCAACCCCGGAACUGCAUUGGAAACUGUAUUUCUAGAGUGUCGGAGAGGCAAGUGGAAUUCUUGGUGUAGCGGUGAAAUGCGUAGAUAUCAGGAGGAACACCAGUGGCGAAGGCGGCUUGCUGGACGAUGACUGACGUUGAGGCUCGAAAGCGUGGGGAGCAAACAGG